GAGAGGUAUUAGUAAAAUUUAUAUAAUUUUGUCAAAAUUAAGUUAUAGGUGAAACCCCUAUAUACCUC
This 68-nucleotide transfer RNA is filed under the name Epomops franqueti (Franquet's epauletted bat). RNAcentral describes it as "tRNA-Asp". The record is from RNAcentral. RNAcentral also lists the same sequence under 1 other name. Lineage: Eukaryota; Metazoa; Chordata; Mammalia; Chiroptera; Pteropodidae.